AUGAACGCCAAGGGGUUCAGAGAUAUGGGGAGUAGACCAUGUCCAUCACCAGGCGCCGCUGGUGCAUUCUCUGGCAGGUGUACCCGCUUCCACUUGGGCAGUAGCUGCUUCUCCCUGACGCCCACCACCGCUACGGGCUGCCGCUGCUACUGCUCUUGCUCGUUGGUGCCGCUGGUGCAUUCUCUGGCAGGUGCACCCGCUUCCACUUGGGCAGUAGCUGCUUCUCCCCGACGCCCACCACCGCUACGGGCUGCCGCUGCUACUGCUCUUGCUCGUUGGCGCCGCAUGCUGCUGCUCGCCGAAGCCUUGUGCUGCCGUUGUCCUGGACCUGGUCGCGAGUCGCGACUCACACCAUGGUUGCCGCCACAAACUGCCGUGUUCUGUGAAGAACGCAACUUCAAAGCAGCAAAAGCUUCACCACCGCUGGCUCCCAUGACAUUGCUUUUUCUCCGGCUAUUCCAACGGUGCUGCCCCGCCACUGUUGGUCAUCCUCUUGGAGCCACUUUAGCCAGGAAUGAGUGUACUCCAGCCCGGCGACGUCAAUGGCGAUGGAGGUGUGGAAAGAGUCGGAGGCGGCAAGCAGGGCGGGCGAAGAGUAGGCCGAGGCCAAGGCGGCACAGGAGUGCCAGCCAUGAGGCCCGCCUCCACCUGCAAGAACUUCGAGCCGUAGCGCUGGAUCCUUCUGUCUCCCGCGCCCGUCCUCCGUCGCCCAGCUCCGGCGAGCUCCUGCCUAGAUCGCCCCACCUCCCCUCCUUUCUCCCUUCUUCUCUCCCUCACGGCCUCACCUCCCUGUCUUCUUUCUCCCCAGGACCCGCUGAUGCCAUGGAUGCGCCCGGGAAGCCUCGCCGCCGGCCUUGCUCGUCGUCACCGGUGACCCCCGCCUCGCUGCCGGCCUCUGGAUCCGCCUCCCAAGCACCUUCCGUGCAUGGAUCCGUCCCCUUCAAGCUCCAUCCGCCGCCGCCCUUCUGCAUGGAGCCGCCCCCAGCCGCUCGUGCCGCCGCGCGUUGA
RNAcentral lists this ribosomal RNA (1008 nucleotides) under Triticum aestivum (bread wheat). Its description in RNAcentral is "partial small subunit ribosomal RNA". Lineage: Eukaryota; Viridiplantae; Streptophyta; Magnoliopsida; Poales; Poaceae. The record is from RNAcentral.